RNAcentral lists this ribosomal RNA (946 nucleotides) under marine metagenome. RNAcentral's name for it is "bacterial SSU rRNA". It matches the Rfam family "Bacterial small subunit ribosomal RNA", at positions 229 to 1193 of the family's 1533-position model. The record is from RNAcentral.
GCCUGCACUUGAUUAGUUUGUUGGUGGGGUAAUGGCCUACCAAGACUUUGAUCAAUAGCUGAUUUGAGAGGAUGAUCAGCCACAUUGGGACUGAGACACGGCCCAAACUCCUACGGGAGGCAGCAGUGGGGAAUCUUGCACAAUGGAGGAAACUCUGAUGCAGCGAUGCCGCGUGAGUGAAGAAGGCCUUUGGGUUGUAAAGCUCUUUCGUCGGGGAAGAAAAUGACUGUACCCGAAUAAGAAGGUCCGGCUAACUUCGUGCCAGCAGCCGCGGUAAUACGAAGGGACCUAGCGUAGUUCGGAAUUACUGGGCUUAAAGAGUUCGUAGGUGGUUGAAAAAGUUGGUGGUGAAAUCCCAGAGCUUAACUCUGGAACUGCCAUCAAAACUUUUCAGCUAGAGUUUGAUAGAGGAAAGCAGAAUUUCUAGUGUAGAGGUGAAAUUCGUAGAUAUUAGAAAGAAUACCAAUUGCGAAGGCAGCUUUCUGGAUCAUUACUGACACUGAGGAACGAAAGCAUGGGUAGCGAAGAGGAUUAGAUACCCUCGUAGUCCAUGCCGUAAACGAUGUGUGUUAGACGUUGGAAAUUUAUUUUCAGUGUCGCAGCGAAAGCGAUAAACACACCGCCUGGGGAGUACGACCGCAAGGUUAAAACUCAAAUGAAUUGACGGGGACCCGCACAAGUAGUGGAGCAUGUGGUUUAAUUCGAAGAUACGCGCAGAACCUUACCAACACUUGACAUGUUCGUCGCGACUUUAAGAGAUUAAAGUUUUCGGUUCGGCCGGACGAAACACAGGUGCUGCAUGGCUGUCGUCAGCUCGUGUCGUGAGAUGUUGGGUUAAGUCCCGCAACGAGCGCAACCCUCACUUUUAGUUGCCAUCAUUUAGUUGGGCACUCUGAAAGAACUGCCAGUGAUAAGCUGGAGGAAGGUGGGGAUGACGUCAAGUCCU